GAGGGUGGGCGGGGCUAUGGCUGCGGCCUACCUGCGCUCCCUGCGGGCCCGGCCCUGUGCUGCCGUGCGUGGCGGCGUGUGAGAUGCCCAUCCCCGCGGCGGGGCCCGGGCCCGUGGGGGCCACCCGGUCCGGUUGUGCCGAGACGUCCGGAAGGCCUCACGGGGCCUCCAUUCACCUCCGUGGCCCGGUUGGGCCUGUGGGCUCGGCUCGUUGCGAGGCGCUGGGGCAGGCCGCGGCCCGGCAGACGAUGGCGCUGGCGGCCCUGCGCAGCCCGGUGCGGGGAGGGGACGAGAUCAGAACCGGUUCGUCCUGCCCCGCCUGGCGCCGUGCCUCGUGUCUCCAUGGGGACGACGCCUCCCCCCCCACCUGCGCCCCACAGCACACCCCCCACGCAGGCCGGGGUCGCCCUCCCAGCGCUGCUCAGCCCCGGGGAUGUGGGGCCGAUGGGUGACCCCGGUGUGGCGUGAGCAGACAUCCCCCUCCCCCCCCUUUCCCCUGGGUAUGAAGGAGCUGACACAACGCUGCUGGUGGGGUCGAUGCCUUUAUUGUGGAGCUGGGUCCGUGCGGGACCGCUGGGUGCACGGGGAGCGGGGGGUGAGCAGGGGGCGUGAGGGGGCUCUGCUUUUGGGGGUGCCACGGUUGGGUGCUGUGGGGCUGGAGCCCGGCUCAGGCGUUCUCCCAGAAGAAGGUGUUGCAGGCCACGGUGAGGGCAGCCACCAGAACCACGUACUCCUGGAAGUCCACCUCCCCGUCUCCAUUCUCAUCCAGGUCCUGCAUGAUCUUCUCCACGGCCCCUGUGUCCUUCUGGGUCUCCAGGAAGCAGCCCAGCUCGCUCUGCAGCAGCUCCUUCAGCUCCUUCUUGCUCAGCUUGUAUUUGUCCCCCUCUUUGCCCGAGUAGUGGUGGAAGACGUUGAUGAGCGUCUCCAUGGCCCCUUCCAGCUGCGACGCCAUGGCUGCGGGUGGCAGUGUUGGUGUUGGGGGGGUCGGCGGCGGUGUUACCCCCGUCCCCGUCUCAGCGAUGGGCAGAAUACGGCCGCCCCUUCCGGGUCUGCCUGGCCCUGGCACUGCAUCGCCUGCACAGCAGCUGCAGGACUGCCCAGGGUGUAAAAAUAACCCCG
RNAcentral lists this long non-coding RNA (1119 nucleotides) under Gallus gallus (chicken). The record is from RNAcentral. Lineage: Eukaryota; Metazoa; Chordata; Aves; Galliformes; Phasianidae.